CGGAGGUGAAUAUUUACAGCUUAUUGACAGCUAACAGCAAUGACCUGUCCCUAGCUUCUGGCUGGAUCUGAAUAUGUGAUGGCGGUUGCUACUGAACAUAGAAAGGAAGAGGAAGUGGGAAAUGGUGGGAGAAGGUAGGACUGCGAGAGCUAUUCUGCAAGGGAGUGGAUUCAAUAAAAGGAACGAAUGUGCAGGAGGCACAGAAGUCAGAGAGAAACGUGCGGAGCAGAAACGCGGGCACUUGUGAGCCAUCUAACCAUGCUGCGCGUGAGGGCCAGAGCCAGGAGGACCUCGAAGGAAGAAAGAAACUCAAAACAGCUGACGUGAACUGUGGCUUCAUAGUGGGAUUUAGAUAAAGGGGUGACAUGUUAAAACGUGCUUUUAAGAUUAACCUGCCAGAGCAGUCCAGCUCUAUUAUUUUUCAGACCACCUAAAAACUCACGGAAAGACAACACAUCUAAUAACUAUUCAAAAUUUAGUCCACCCUUUCCUUUCAGUCCUAAGAUUUUCCCAAACAGCGUUUUGUAAAGCCCAGAAACUUGUGUUUUAGACUGUAUGCUUGUAUUUUUUUCAUUCCCAAAUAUGCAUGUUGAGAUCGUUUACCCUGCUACCACAGGGCUAAGCAGAAGGCAUUCAUUUUAUUUUCUUCUUCAGUGAGUGUGACAAUUUGAACAAGAAUGGUCAAAUUUCUUUCUUUUCUUUUCUUUUGUUUUUCCCUAAAUCAAACUCUGUCUAUUCAGAAGAGGAUUGCUUUGCGGUUCCAUUAAAUGAAAUAACACAUUCUGCUCUGAUAUUUAAUAGAGUGAAUCUCGGCCUCACUGGCUCUCGGCUCCAUUGACCCUAGAGCUCACCGAAGGGACAUUUUCCCCAUGGACAGAUCUGGAAAGCCACAAUUUUUUCCUUUCCCCAGAGAUUUCUGCU
This 921-nucleotide long non-coding RNA is filed under the name Equus asinus (donkey). RNAcentral's name for it is "lncRNA (ENSEASG00005030557.1)". Lineage: Eukaryota; Metazoa; Chordata; Mammalia; Perissodactyla; Equidae. The record is from RNAcentral.